This is a long non-coding RNA of Eublepharis macularius, 954 nucleotides long. RefSeq lists it as uncharacterized. Lineage: Eukaryota; Metazoa; Chordata; Lepidosauria; Squamata; Eublepharidae. The record is from RefSeq and is a predicted model, not a curated record. The transcript has 3 exons.
AGUGCCUUCAGUUGGAUUUGAAGAUACCAUGCUGCAAAAGUUUCAGUCCUUCUAAAAAAUGGUAUCUGGCUAGACCACUCAUUUUAACUUCUGUCAGGAGCAGCUGAUUCGUUAAACCAGUACCUGGAAUCAGAAAUGGGCUAAAAGAGAGUGAUUAAGCUGAAGCUUCAUCUUGGCAAGGUAUUCUUGGUUCAGCUCUGAUUAUUUUAUUAUAAGGAUACAUCUAGAUUCUGUGGAAGAAAGAAGGUCCUACGGUACUCUAGUGCAUAUGGAGGCACCUCAAAUGUGAUGGAGGCACAAUGGUUCUUAAAAGAAGACUGGAACUGGGACAUGAACAAUGGAAACAUGUGAACACAUGAUGACACUAUCUUAUACUGAAUCAGACCAUUAGUCCAUCAAAGUCAGUGUUGUUUUCUUAGACUGGCAAAGGCUCGCCAGUGUCUCAGGUUGUGGUCUUUUACCACCUACCAUCUGAUUCUUUCAGGUAGCCAUUCUGAGGAUUGCAUCUAUAACCAUCUACAUGCAAAACAGAUUACCACUGAGUUGUAGCCACUUCUCUAAGCAAAAGAACAAGAAGUUAGAAGGCCAGGUCGACUUUUCUUAAUAAAAGUCUAGAAUCCAAUGAUCAUACAAUUAUCAGAGUCACUUAAGCAACAUUUAUUUUUAUUUAUAUGUUAUUCAUAGCCCACCUUUCUCACUGAGACUCAAGGAGGAUUACACAGUAUAAGUCAAUAUGAUCAGUGGCUGGGACAUUCAAUAAACAAUAUAACAGGGUAUGGAUAGCAGAAAUUUGAAGACAAGGGCUGGAUCGAGGGGGGGCAGGGGGGUAGCCUGCCCCUGGUGCCGCCAAAGAGGGGGCACCAGGCGCAGCUGCCAGCCACCAGGAGCACGCUGCAGCUUGCCACACAGGAGGCUGAGCACAGGGUUGGGAGGCCCUCGCCAGCCCCGCCGAUG